Molecule: long non-coding RNA, 503 nt
Organism: Cydia amplana
Lineage: Eukaryota; Metazoa; Arthropoda; Insecta; Lepidoptera; Tortricidae
Exons: 2
Source: RefSeq, a predicted model, not a curated record
UUAAUAUAAAAAUGUAACAAUUAGGUUGUGCGGCUGCCAAAUGUUGUUUAAAUAAUAUUUAAGCAUCAUAAAUAAUUGUAACAGGCAUCAAGCUUAACUAAGACAAAUCAUAACAACUUAGUUCAGCAGUAGACCUGUGGCAUUAUUAUUUAAUGAUUAUUCUUUUGGUCUGGUUGAUAAUACAUAUUAGUUUAUUCAUGAAAAUAAUCAUGCAUGAUGGAAGUGUUUGGGAUUGUAAUAUUUUUGUACAGUCAAUAAAAAUAUUCAUACAUUUUUGCAGUUUAUUGUUAUAGCAUUAAAAAAUUACAUCUUACUUUUUAUCCUUGUGGAAUAUUAUAAUCUUAAUAUUAAAUAAUUUAUUUUUAAAUUUAGAGAACAGGCCUUUUCUACUGUAUCUAACCAAUACUAACUGGACGCACAAUUAAAACAUAUGUAUGUUAUAUGAACAUAUGUUGAGCUUAUAAAAAUAAUUCUUGCAAUCUAAAUAAAUGCAUUUAAAAAUA